Molecule: ribosomal RNA, 494 nt
Filed under: uncultured bacterium
Lineage: Bacteria
Description: partial 16S ribosomal RNA
Rfam family: Bacterial small subunit ribosomal RNA
Source: RNAcentral
GAUGAACGCUGGCGGCGUGCUUAACACAUGCAAGUCGAGCGGAGUUAUGAAGAGGAAGUUUUCGGAUGGAAUCUUUGUGACUUAGCGGCGGACGGGUGAGUAACGCGUGGGUAACCUGCCUUACACUGGGGGAUAACAGUUAGAAAUGACUGCUAAUACCGCAUAAGCGCACAGUGCGACAUCGCACAGUGUGAAAAACUCCGGUGGUGUAAGAUGGACCCGCGUCUGAUUAGGUAGUUGGUGGGGUAACGGCGCACCAAGCCGACGAUCAGUAGCCGACGUGAGAGGGUGACCGGCAACAUUGGGACUGAGACACGGCCCAAACUCCUACGGGAGGCAGCAGUGGGGAAUAUUGCACAAUGGGCGAAAGCCUGAUGCAGCGACGCCGCGUGAGUGAAGAAGUAUUUCGGUAUGUAAAGCUCUAUCAGCAGGGAAGAAAAUGACGGUACCUGACUAAGAAGCCCCGGCUAACUACGUGCCAGAAGCCGCCGUAA